RNAcentral lists this long non-coding RNA (829 nucleotides) under Fukomys damarensis (Damara mole-rat). RNAcentral describes it as "lncRNA (ENSFDAG00000026395.1)". Lineage: Eukaryota; Metazoa; Chordata; Mammalia; Rodentia; Bathyergidae. The record is from RNAcentral.
GAGUCAUCUUCCUUUUAUUUUCUAAGGUUCUCAUAGCCUAAUUUAGUAGGAAAUAGUGCUGAUCCAUGAUUUGAAUCAUGAUUCCUGACCCACUGUUCCUCUUCCUGGAAGACCAGAAUCUCAGGGAUCCCCUGCAGGAGGCCUCAGGGAGGGAGGCCAGGCAGGCGCCCCACCGAGCAUUGAUGUGGUGACCAUAUGGAAGGAUGUGGCUGGGCACAGGCUUGGAGGCAUCCUUGUGUAGGUUCUCUUGGUAACCCUCACACUGUGUUUUUCCCAGUGGACCCAGUAAUACGUGGCGGCCUCAUCUUCUUUCUCCAUGACAAUUUUUUAAAGUUGGUGUGAAAAUGUCAAAAUUUUUACUUGCCUCAAGUUUCUUGCUUAUUUUUCCUGAGGGAUGUCGAUUGUAGGCUAUCCAGAUAUUAGAUGCUCAAACUCUUCUUUUAGUUUUUGUCAGCACCAGUAUAUAUCUAUGUGUUUAAAGUUGUGGGUGGACGUAUUACAAGGUAUGUGGGUACUCCCAGAUGUUGCCUCUGGAAAUUAUUUCAGGUUGCUCUAACUUGCCCCAGUCCAACUGCAAGCAGAGAAGAGAAAUCCCAAAAAACAAAUUAUAUAUGAAGAAGUAACGAUAAGUAUGGCUUAAUUCUCUCCUGUAGAUGGAAAGGAUUGGGGACAAUUCACAAGUCCAGAGGGAGGAGAGCAGGACUACUUUCAGGAGCAGCAAACCCAUCUGCCAGGCUGGCUUCCUGGAGGCCUCAAAACAAAUCCAGAAUACUGUCCAUGCCCUGAGACCAUCACUAUAUAUCCUGUUUUGCCUGAGAUUCACAGCCCA